GGUCCUGGCUGGCCGGUCCGCCUCACCGCGAGUACUGGUCCGGCUGGACCUUUCCUUCUGGGGAACCUCAUGGCCUUCACUGGCUGUGGGGGGAACCAGGACUUUUACUGUGAAAAAAUUAGAGUGUUCAAAGCAGGCCUUUGCUCGAAUACAUUAGCAUGGAAUAAUAGAAUAGGACGUGCGGUUCUAUUUUGUUGGUUUCUAGGACCGCCGUAAUGAUUAAUAGGGAUAGUCGGGGGCGUCAGUAUUCAGCUGUCAGAGGUGAAAUUCUUGGAUUUGCUGAAGACUAACUACUGCGAAAGCAUUCGCCAAGGAUGUUUUCAUUAAUCAGGGAACGAAAGUUAGGGGAUCGAAGACGAUCAGAUACCGUCGUAGUCUUAACCAUAAACUAUGCCGACUAGGGAUCGGGCGGUGUUUCUAUGAUGACCCGCUCGGCACCUUACGAGAAAUCAAAGUUUUUGGGUUCUGGGGGGAGUAUGGUCGCAAGGCUGAAACUUAAAGAAAUUGACGGAAGGGCACCACAAGGCGUGGAGCCUGCGGCUUAAUU
This 547-nucleotide ribosomal RNA is filed under the name Aspergillus oryzae. Its description in RNAcentral is "SSU rRNA". It matches the Rfam family "Eukaryotic small subunit ribosomal RNA", at positions 643 to 1195 of the family's 1831-position model. Lineage: Eukaryota; Fungi; Ascomycota; Eurotiomycetes; Eurotiales; Aspergillaceae. The record is from RNAcentral.